GACGAACGCUGGCGGCGUGCUUAACACAUGCAAGUCGAGCGGGUAAGGCCCUUUCGGGGGUACGACGAGCGGCGAACGGGUGAGUAACACGUGGGUGACCUGCCCUCAGCUCUGGGAUAAGCCUGGGAAACCGGGUCUAAUACUGGAUAUGACUCCAUGACGCAUGUUGUGGGGUGGAAAGCCUUGUGCGGCUGAGGAUGGGCCCGCGGCCUAUCAGCUUGUUGGUGGGGUGAGGCCUACCAAGGCGACGACGGGUAGCCGGCCUGAGAGGGCGACCGGCACACUGGGACUGAGACACGGCCCAGACUCCUACGGGAGGCAGCAGUGGGGAAUCUUGCGCAAUGGGCGAAAGCCUGACGCAGCGACGCCGCGUGAGGGAUGACGGCCUGGUUGUAAC
Molecule: ribosomal RNA, 397 nt
Filed under: uncultured bacterium
Lineage: Bacteria
Description: bacterial SSU rRNA
Rfam family: Bacterial small subunit ribosomal RNA
Source: RNAcentral